UUGUGGAUUCCACAGAAUACUCGUUUAUUGGUAGCAUUGCAAAUCAAGAAAAUUAUGAUCACAGCCAAAAAUUGGGGCAAGGCCAGAGAAAGGAAAUUUUAAUAUUCACUGGAAGUUGAAAACUACUUUAACAUAUUUGCAGAAGAAAUCUGCACAGAUACAUUCAACUUCAGAGGCCCAGAAUUGGUGCCUCUGGACCCAUUCAUACAAUCUACCUGAAACUCUCUUUGGGGGAAGGUUUCCUUUUAUGACUUUUUGGUUUGCAUAUUUCAUGAUUAAUCCAAAUAGGACAAAGCAAACAUCCAAAUAUUUGGACCCACAUCAAAGAUACUAUUUCUGCAAGGCAUAGGAGUUCACGAUAUCAAAAAAUGAACCCCAGCACCUGAAACUCUCUUAAGGGAAGGUUUGCAUAUGUCAUGAUUAAUCCAAAUAGGUCAACAUCAAAGAUACUAUAUCAAAAAAUAAACCCCAACCAGGUCUUU
This 482-nucleotide long non-coding RNA is filed under the name Eucalyptus grandis. RNAcentral describes it as "long non-coding RNA (EGRA_LNC000432)". Lineage: Eukaryota; Viridiplantae; Streptophyta; Magnoliopsida; Myrtales; Myrtaceae. The record is from RNAcentral.